Molecule: ribosomal RNA, 1344 nt
Filed under: Shigella boydii
Lineage: Bacteria; Pseudomonadati; Pseudomonadota; Gammaproteobacteria; Enterobacterales; Enterobacteriaceae
Description: bacterial SSU rRNA
Rfam family: Bacterial small subunit ribosomal RNA
Source: RNAcentral
AGGGGGACCUUCGGGCCUCUUGCCAUCGGAUGUGCCCAGAUGGGAUUAGCUUGUUGGUGGGGUAACGGCUCACCAAGGCGACGAUCCCUAGCUGGUCUGAGAGGAUGACCAGCCACACUGGAACUGAGACACGGUCCAGACUCCUACGGGAGGCAGCAGUGGGGAAUAUUGCACAAUGGGCGCAAGCCUGAUGCAGCCAUGCCGCGUGUAUGAAGAAGGCCUUCGGGUUGUAAAGUACUUUCAGCGGGGAGGAAGGGAGUAAAGUUAAUACCUUUGCUCAUUGACGUUACCCGCAGAAGAAGCACCGGCUAACUCCGUGCCAGCAGCCGCGGUAAUACGGAGGGUGCAAGCGUUAAUCGGAAUUACUGGGCGUAAAGCGCACGCAGGCGGUUUGUUAAGUCAGAUGUGAAAUCCCCGGGCUCAACCUGGGAACUGCAUCUGAUACUGGCAAGCUUGAGUCUCGUAGAGGGGGGUAGAAUUCCAGGUGUAGCGGUGAAAUGCGUAGAGAUCUGGAGGAAUACCGGUGGCGAAGGCGGCCCCCUGGACGAAGACUGACGCUCAGGUGCGAAAGCGUGGGGAGCAAACAGGAUUAGAUACCCUGGUAGUCCACGCCGUAAACGAUGUCGACUUGGAGGUUGUGCCCUUGAGGCGUGGCUUCCGGAGCUAACGCGUUAAGUCGACCGCCUGGGGAGUACGGCCGCAAGGUUAAAACUCAAAUGAAUUGACGGGGGCCCGCACAAGCGGUGGAGCAUGUGGUUUAAUUCGAUGCAACGCGAAGAACCUUACCUGGUCUUGACAUCCACGGAAGUUUUCAGAGAUGAGAAUGUGCCUUCGGGAACCGUGAGACAGGUGCUGCAUGGCUGUCGUCAGCUCGUGUUGUGAAAUGUUGGGUUAAGUCCCGCAACGAGCGCAACCCUUAUCCUUUGUUGCCAGCGGUCCGGCCGGGAACUCAAAGGAGACUGCCAGUGAUAAACUGGAGGAAGGUGGGGACGACGUCAAGUCAUCAUGGCCCUUACGACCAGGGCUACACACGUGCUACAAUGGCGCAUACAAAGAGAAGCGACCUCGCGAGAGCAAGCGGACCUCAUAAAGUGCGUCGUAGUCCGGAUUGGAGUCUGCAACUCGACUCCAUGAAGUCGGAAUCGCUAGUAAUCGUGGAUCAGAAUGCCACGGUGAAUACGUUCCCGGGCCUUGUACACACCGCCCGUCACACCAUGGGAGUGGGUUGCAAAAGAAGUAGGUAGCUUAACCUUCGGGAGGGCGCUUACCACUUUGUGAUUCAUGACUGGGGUGAAGUCGUAACAAGGUAACCGUAGGGGAACCUGCGGUUGGAUCACCUCCUUA